UGCCAGACUCCUACGGGAGGCAGCAGUGGGGAAUAUUGCACAAUGGGGGAAACCCUGAUGCAGCGACGCCGCGUGAGCGAUGAAGUAUUUCGGUAUGUAAAGCUCUAUCAGCAGGGAAGAAGAUGACGGUACCUGACUAAGAAGCCCCGGCUAACUACGUGCCAGCAGCCGCGGUAAUACGGAGGAUGCGAGCGUUAUCCGGAUUUAUUGGGUUUAAAGGGUGCGUAGGCGGAUCGUUAAGUCAGUGGUCAAAUUGGGGGCCCCACCCCCCCCCCGCCAUUGAAACUGGCGCUCUUGAGUGGAAGAGAAGUAUGCGGAAUGCGUGGUGUAGCGGUGAAAUGCAUAGAUAUCACGCAGAACCCCGAUUGCGAAGGCAGCAUGCCGGCUUCCGACUGACGCUGAAGCACGAAAGCGUGGGGAUCGAACAGGAUUAGAUACCCUAGUAC
Molecule: ribosomal RNA, 446 nt
Filed under: uncultured bacterium
Lineage: Bacteria
Description: partial 16S ribosomal RNA
Rfam family: Bacterial small subunit ribosomal RNA
Source: RNAcentral